ACACUCAGAUGCGAAAGCGUGGGAGAGCAAACAGGAUUAGAUACCCUGGUAGUCCACGCCGUAAACGAUGUCUACUUGGAGGUUGUGGCCUUGAGCCGUGGCUUUCGGAGCUAACGCGUUAAGUAGACCGCCUGGGGAGUACGGUCGCAAGAUUAAAACUCAAAUGAAUUGACGGGGGCCCGCACAAGCGGUGGAGCAUGUGGUUUAAUUCGAUGCAACGCGAAGAACCUUACCUACUCUUGACAUCCAGAGAAGCCAGCGGAGACGCAGGUGUGCCUUCGGGAACUAUGAGACAGGUGCUGCAUGGCUGUCGUCAGCUCGUGUUGUGAAAUGUUGGGUUAAGUCCCGCAACGAGCGCAACCCUUAUCCUUGUUUGCCAGCGAGUAAUGUCGGGAACUCCAGGGAGACUGCCGGUGAUAAACCGGAGGAAGGUGGGGACGACGUCAAGUCAUCAUGGCCCUUACGAGUAGGGCUACACACGUGUUACAAUGGCGCAUACAGAGGGCAGCAAGCUAGCGAUAGUGAGCGAAUCCCAAAAAGUGCGUCGUAGUCCGGAUUGGAGUCUGCAACUCGACUCCAUGAAGUCGGAAUCGCUAGUAAUCGUGAAUCAGAAUGUCACGGUGAAUACGUUCCCGGGCCUUGUACACACCGCCCGUCACACCAUGGGAGUGGGCUGCAAAAGAAGUGGGUAGUUUAACCUUCGGGG
Molecule: ribosomal RNA, 706 nt
Filed under: Vibrio sp.
Lineage: Bacteria; Pseudomonadati; Pseudomonadota; Gammaproteobacteria; Vibrionales; Vibrionaceae
Description: bacterial SSU rRNA
Rfam family: Bacterial small subunit ribosomal RNA
Source: RNAcentral